RNAcentral lists this ribosomal RNA (477 nucleotides) under uncultured organism. RNAcentral describes it as "partial 16S ribosomal RNA". It matches the Rfam family "Bacterial small subunit ribosomal RNA", at positions 331 to 799 of the family's 1533-position model. The record is from RNAcentral.
GUACACUCCUACGGGAGGCAGCAGUGGGGAAUUUUGGACAAUGGGCGAAAGCCUGAUCCAGCAAUGCCGCGUGAGUGAAGAAGGCCUUCGGGUUGUAAAGCUCUUUUGUCAGGGAAGAAACGGUGAGAGCUAAUAUCUUUUGCUAAUGACGGUACCUGAAGAAUAAGCACCGGCUAACUACGUGCCAGCAGCCGCGGUAAUACGUAGGGUGCAAGCGUUAAUCGGAAUUACUGGGCGUAAAGCGUGCGCAGGCGGUUUUGUAAGUCUGAUGUGAAAUCCCCGGGCUCAACCUGGGAAUUGCAUUGGAGACUGCAAGGCUAGAAUCUGGCAGAGGGGGGUAGAAUUCCACGUGUAGCAGUGAAAUGCGUAGAUAUGUGGAGGAACACCGAUGGCGAAGGCAGCCCCCUGGGUCAAGAUUGACGCUCAUGCACGAAAGCGUGGGGAGCAAACAGGAUUAGAAACCCUAGUAGUCCCAUG